This 1044-nucleotide ribosomal RNA is filed under the name uncultured organism. RNAcentral describes it as "bacterial SSU rRNA". It matches the Rfam family "Bacterial small subunit ribosomal RNA", at positions 333 to 1377 of the family's 1533-position model. The record is from RNAcentral.
AGACUCCUACGGGAGGCAGCAGUUAAGAAUCUUGCGCAAUGGGCGAAAGCCUGACGCAGCGACGCCGCGUGGACGAUGAAGGCCUUCGGGUUGUAAAGUCUGGUAAACAGGGAAGAAUAAGCAAAGGGUAAUAUUCUCUGUGAUGACGGUACCUGUCUAAAGCCCCGGCUAACUACGUGCCAGCAGCCGCGGUAAUACGUAUGGGGCAAGCGUUGUUCGGAAUUAUUGGGCGUAAAGGGCGUCUAGGCGGGGGAUUAAGUUGGAUGUGAAAGCCUUAGGCUCAACCUGAGAAUUGCAUCCAAAACUGGUUCUCUUGAGUUCGGGAGAGGAGAGCGGAAUUCCCGGUGUAGCGGUGAAAUGCGUAGAUAUCGGGAAGAACACCAGUGGCGAAGGCGGCUCUCUGGCCUAGGACUGACGCUGAAGCGCGAAAGCGUGGGGAGCGAACGGGAUUAGAUACCCCGGUAGUCCACGCCGUAAACGUUGUGUACUAGGUGUUAGUGGUUUAACCACUAGUGCCGACGCUAACGCAUUAAGUACACCGCAUGGGGAGUACGGCCGCAAGGCUUAAACUCAAAGAAAUUGACGGGGGCCCGCACAAGCGGUGGAGCAUGUGGUUUAAUUCGAUGAUACGCGAGGAACCUUACCUGGGCUUGAACUGUAUCUGACAGGUGUAGAGAUGCACCCUCCUUCGGGCAGGUACAGAGGUGCUGCAUGGUUGUCGUCAGCUCGUGUCGUGAGAUGUUGGGUUAAGUCCCGCAACGAGCGCAACCCAUACUCAUUGUUGCCAUCAGGUAAUGCUGAGCACUCUAGGGGAACUGCCGGUGACAAACCGGAGGAAGGUGGGGAUGACGUCAAAUCAUCACGGCCCUUAUGUCCAGGGCUACACACGUGCUACAAUGGUCGGUACAAUGAGUUGCGAUACCGCGAGGUGGAGCUAAUCUCAAAAAACCGGCCUCAGUUCAGAUUGCAGUCUGCAACUCGACUGCAUGAAGUUGGAAUCGCUAGUAAUCGCAGAUCAGCACGCUGCGGUGAAUACGUUCCCGG